AACAAGGAUUCCCUUAGUAACUGCGAGUGAAGAGGGAAAAGCUCAAAUUUAAAAUCUGACAGUGUUUUGCUGUCCGAGUUGUAACCUAGAGAAGUGUAACCUGUGCUGGACCAUGUACAAGUCUCCUGGAAUGGAGCAUCGCAGAGGGUGAGAAUCCCGUSUUUGACAUGGACUACCAGUGCAUUGUGGUUGUGCUCUCAACGAGUCGAGUUGUUUGGGAAUGCAGCUCUAAAUGGGUGGUAAAUUCCAUCUAAAGCUAAAUAUUGGCGAGAGACCGAUAGCGAACAAGUACCGUGAGGGAAAGAUGAAAAGAACUUUGGAAAGAGAGUUAAACAGUAUGUGAAAUUGUUGAAAGGGAAACGUUUGAAGUCAGUCAUGUUGGGUGGGGAUCAGCCUGGCAGAUUGUUGGGUGUACUUCCUGGUUGACGGGCCAACAUCAGUUUUGACUGCCAGAGAAAGGYGAAGGGAAUGUGGCACCUUUGGGUGUGUUAUAGCUCUUUGUCGUAUGUGGUGGUUGGGACUGAGGAAAGCAGUGCGCCGAAAGGCRGGGUUUCGACCACAUUCGCACUGAGGAUGUUGGCAUAAUGGCUUUAAGCGACCCGUCUUGAAACACGGACCAAGGAGUCUAACAUGCAUGCGAGUGUUUGGGUGGAAAACUCUUACGCGGAAUGAAAGUGAAAGUUGAGAACCCUGUCGUGGGGAGCAUCGACGCCCGGACCAGAACUUUUGGGACGGAUCUGCGGUAGAGCACGUAUGUUGGGACCCGAAAGAUGGUGAACUAUGCCUGAAUAGGGUGAAGCCAGAGGAAACUCUGGUGGAGGCUCGUAGCGAUUCUGACGUGCAAAUCGAUCGUCAAAUUUGGGUAUAGGGGCGAAAGACUAA
This 882-nucleotide ribosomal RNA is filed under the name Amanita aff. lavendula 1 KWH-2017. Its description in RNAcentral is "LSU rRNA". It matches the Rfam family "Eukaryotic large subunit ribosomal RNA", at positions 67 to 934 of the family's 3401-position model. The record is from RNAcentral. Lineage: Eukaryota; Fungi; Basidiomycota; Agaricomycetes; Agaricales; Amanitaceae. RNAcentral also lists the same sequence under 1 other name.